GAAAAUGAAGGGAUUCUGGGUGUUCAAGGACAGUGCAACAGAAAUCCAGUGUCUGUUGGUUUCUUGGCUUCGUGCUGCUAAACCUGGUAUUUUUACUGAGACAUUU
Sorex araneus (European shrew) is the source of this 106-nucleotide small nucleolar RNA. RefSeq annotates it as small nucleolar RNA SNORA8. The transcript has a single exon. The record is from RefSeq and is a predicted model, not a curated record. Lineage: Eukaryota; Metazoa; Chordata; Mammalia; Eulipotyphla; Soricidae.